Piloderma croceum F 1598 is the source of this 72-nucleotide non-coding RNA. The record is from the annotation of a GenBank genome assembly. Lineage: Eukaryota; Fungi; Basidiomycota; Agaricomycetes; Atheliales; Atheliaceae.
GCCUGGGUGGCUCAGUGGUGAGUGCCCCUACCGGCAAUGUGGAGGUCUGAGGUUUGAGUCCCAGCCUGGUCA